Molecule: long non-coding RNA, 539 nt
Organism: Herpailurus yagouaroundi (jaguarundi)
Lineage: Eukaryota; Metazoa; Chordata; Mammalia; Carnivora; Felidae
Exons: 2
Source: RefSeq, a predicted model, not a curated record
ACAAUGUAUUAUUAUUUUAAACAUUUCAAAAGAUGGCUCUAACCAGGGAUCCUUUCUCUUCUCCAGAUGCUAAGAGUAUCUCCACACAGUGAGAGUUUGGAAGUCCUGCCCUAAGCCUCACCUCAUCCCUCAUCUGGCCCUUCUUUCCUUGGAUGCCUCAUCUCCUUAUCCAUUCACAACAAGUGUUCUGAGUGUCCACCAUGUGCCAGACAUGCUUGAGUCACUAGUGACACAGACACAUGUGCACUGAUAACUACUUGGUCCUUGUCCUGCCAGAGGAGGGCCCACAUCCACCUCACCCAAUGCUGGAAAGGAGCAACCAGGGAAAGAUUGGCUUUUAUCACCUGAUAAACCCUGAUAUUGUCACAAAACCAUCAGUAAUUCUUCUCAUCUAUUCUGUAGGCCUGUUCAUCUUUCCUAAAAGUCAUUUGUUUUCCUUGUAAGUAAGUACCUUCUCCUCCUCUGCUUCUCCUAUUAGGUUGGUAUAUAAGCUCCCACAUUCUAAUUGCCUAGUACUUAAUAAAAAUCUUUUUUCUUGA